UGAACAGCCAGGAUCUCUGUAAUCAAGUGCUCCUCUUCCCACCAAUCACUGAGGAGCUCGUGAAACCCGCCUGCCAUCAUCAGCGGCAAUGCCAGGGUUUGGGAGAGCUUCUGGCUGACCUGCUGUUCAGCUGGCCUCCACCCUUCCCCCAACCACCAGGACAUUUAAGCAAAACAACCUGCUUUUGCCCGAAUGACCCAGGUUGAUGAGGCCUGGAGACAUCUGAGAUGUAGAUCACAAGAGCUUCUGAAAAUUCAACUAUUAAAUCAACACAAUGUAUCAGAAUAGAGAUAUAAAAAAUGGAUUCCCGGACCAAUAGAACUGAGACGUAACUUCACAUAUCUAAGGAAAGAGGUUAAUUAAAAAAAGAGAUUGAUCAUCUGUGGAAGCCUGGAGGGGGGACCAAUAACCUUCAAUUACUGAGCACUUACCAAAUGUGAGGAAUUGUGCUAAAUAUUUUAUAUAAUUAUCUAAUUAAUCCUUACAACAGUCUCCAAAAGUAGGUAAAGAUAUCCAUUUUUUUUUUUUCAAACCCAAAUCUCUUACUCUUAAUUACUGUGCAAGGAAGAGGAAGUAUUAGUCAACAUAUUUCAAGUAUUAUGGCCCCAUGAUCAAAAUUACCUGUAUGAAGAUGGACAUGUUAGCGCAUCUGGGCCUGGAUACACUAAAUAUUGAAUCAUCUGACUAUGGCCCCUCGUUCUGAUUCUGUG
Molecule: long non-coding RNA, 710 nt
Filed under: Equus caballus (horse)
Lineage: Eukaryota; Metazoa; Chordata; Mammalia; Perissodactyla; Equidae
Description: lncRNA (ENSECAG00000028577.3)
Source: RNAcentral